AGAGAGAGAGAGAGAGAGAGACAACGGUAAUGGGAGGGCUGUUAUGCAGCCCUCAAUGCAUCCAAUGAACUAAGACCCUAUCUAGGCUGACUAGAAUGAUAAAAACAUGGGCAGCCUAGCUAUUACAAAUUCAUGGUGCACAUUUGAUUCAAAAAUUACAAGAUCUAGAAACAUAAUAAGAAUAAAGUUGAGAGGCCAAACCAAUUGGCACCCAUUAAGCUUAGUUGCCCCUCCAUUCCCACCAAAAUAGAAACCACAAAAAAAAAAA
This 268-nucleotide unclassified non-coding RNA is filed under the name Hevea brasiliensis (rubber tree). Lineage: Eukaryota; Viridiplantae; Streptophyta; Magnoliopsida; Malpighiales; Euphorbiaceae. The record is from RNAcentral.